AACGCACAUUGCGGCCGCGGGUCACUCCCGCGGCCACGCCUGUCCGAGGGUCGGCUACUCUGGUACUCGCCGGAAGCAUCAUCGCAUCCGGCGCGCUGGCGCGUCGCUCGCCGUUUCACCACGGCGACCGUCCGCCUCGAGACUGCAGCUUCGCUAACGUCCUCCGGCCUCACCGGGUCGGCGGCUCCAAAAACCGUUGCCGGUACUCGGGGACGUGGUUCGGAUCGAACUACUUCUCGCCCCGACGAAAGCAAUCGGAGCCGCCAGCACUCUGCCUCGCGCAGAGGACGGUGUCACGGGCUCAGAAGGGGACUUGCGAGCGAAGAGUGUCGGCGCGUGGUGGGGGCCCGUUCGCCGGGCCGCCGCCGCCGCCGCACGACACACACCUAGCUCCGACCUCGGAUCAGACGAGACUACCCGCUGAACUUAAGCAUAUCAGUAAGCGGAGGAAAAGAAACUAACAAGGAUUCCCUC
This 474-nucleotide ribosomal RNA is filed under the name Sinonovacula constricta (Chinese razor clam). Its description in RNAcentral is "eukaryotic LSU rRNA". The stretch from base 394 to 474 matches the Rfam family "Eukaryotic large subunit ribosomal RNA", at positions 1 to 81 of the family's 3401-position model. The record is from RNAcentral. Lineage: Eukaryota; Metazoa; Mollusca; Bivalvia; Cardiida; Solecurtidae.